ACACUUACAAGCAUGUAUCAAAUCAAAUGUUAUCUGUCACAUGCGCCAAAUACAACAGGUGUAGUAGACCUUACAGUGAAAUACUUACCUACAGAGUCAAUGUGGAGACGAUAUACAGGGGGUACCGGUGCAGAGUCAAUGUGGAGACUAUAUACAGGGUGUUACGGUACAGAGUCAAUGUGGAGGCUAUAUACAGGGUGUUACGGUACAGAGUCAAUGUGGAGGCUAUAUACAGGGGGUACUGGUACAGAGUCAAUGUGGAGGCUAUAUACAGGGUGUUACGGUACAGAGUCAAUGUGGAGGCUAUAUACAGGGGGUACCGGUACAGAGUCAAUGUGGAGGCUAUAUACAGGGGGUACCGGUACAGAGUCAAUGUGGAGGCUAUAUACAGGGGGUACCGGUACAGAGUCAAUGUGGAGGCUAUAUACAGGGAGUACCGGUACAGAGUCAAUGUGGAGACUAUAUACAGGGGGUACCGGUACCGAGUCAAUGUGGAGGCUAUAUACAGGGUGUUACGGUACAGAGUCAAUGUGGAGACUAUAUACAGGGUGUUACGGUACAGAGUCAAUGUGGAGGCUAUAUACAGGGGGUACCGGUACAGAGUCAAUGUGGAGGCUAUAUACAGGGGGCACAGGUACAGAGUCAAUGUGGAGACUAUAUACAAGGGUACAGGUACAGAGUCAAUGUGGAAACUAUAUACAGGGGGUACCGAUACAGAGUCAAUGUGGAGGCUAUAUACAGGGGGUACCGAUACAGAGUCAAUGUGGAGGCUAUAUACAGGGUGUUACGGUACAGAAUCAAUGUGGAGGCUAUAUACAGGGGGGUACCGGUACAGAGUGAAUGUGGAGACUAUAUUCAGGGGGUACUGGUACCGAGUCAAUGUGGAGGCUAUAUACAGGGGGUACAGGUACAGAGUCAAUGUGGAGACUAUAUACAAGGGGUACAAGUACAGAGUCAAUGUGGAGACUAUAUACAGGG
Oncorhynchus tshawytscha (Chinook salmon) is the source of this 978-nucleotide long non-coding RNA. The record is from Ensembl. NCBI's taxonomy places the organism in Eukaryota, Metazoa, Chordata, Actinopteri, Salmoniformes, Salmonidae.